GGUAUCUCGUGUGUGUGUGUCCGUUUUUCUCCUUCUCCCCUCACAGGUGAAAAUCAUCACUCCCCAAUCAGUCAUCAAUCAUCAGUUGCUUUCCCUUGGUUUAAAAACCCUGUCAGUUGUUUGCUCUGGAGCUCAAUCUCUCUGUAAAUGAUAUGUCUGUAGAUCGCUCUGUUUCACCCUCUUCUCCUAUGUCUCUCUAUCUCUCUUUAUGUAUUGAGCUCUCUUUUGUUUGAGCACCUCCAUAUCACUUUGUCUUCACCUGGAAGCUCUAUGGCCGAGGCUCGACAGACGACAAGGGCCCAGUGUUGGCCUGGUUCAACUGCAUUGAGGGCUACCAAAAGAUCCAACAGGAGCUUCCGAUAAACAUCAAGUUCUGCUUCGAGGGCAUGGAGGAAUCUGAAUCGGAGGGCCUGGACAAGCUGGUGUUUGCCCGCAAAGACACCUUCCUGAAGGACGUGGAUUACGUAUGCAUCUCAGACAACUACUGGCUGGGCAAUACCAAACCCUGCAUUACCUAUGGACUGAGGGGGAUCUGCUACUUCUUCAUU
Long non-coding RNA from Oncorhynchus kisutch (coho salmon), 548 nucleotides. RefSeq lists it as uncharacterized. NCBI's taxonomy places the organism in Eukaryota, Metazoa, Chordata, Actinopteri, Salmoniformes, Salmonidae. The record is from RefSeq and is a predicted model, not a curated record. The transcript has 3 exons.